AGUGAACGCUGGCGGUAGGCCUAACACAUGCAAGUCGAACGGCAGCACAGGAGAGCUUGCUCUCUGGGUGGCGAGUGGCGGACGGGUGAGGAAUACAUCGGAAUCUACUUUUUCGUGGGGGAUAACGUAGGGAAACUUACGCUAAUACCGCAUACGACCUACGGGUGAAAGCAGGGGACCUUCGGGCCUUGCGCGAUUGAAUGAGCCGAUGUCGGAUUAGCUAGUGGGCGGGGUAAGUCCCACCAAGGCGACGAUCCGUAGCUGGUCUGAGAGGAUGAUCAGCCACACUGGAACUGUGACACGGUCCAGACUCCUACGGGAGGCAGCAGUGGGGAAUAUUGGACAAUGGGCGCAAGCCUGAUCCAGCCAUACCGCGUGGGUGAAGAAGGCCUUCGGGUUGUAAAGCCCUUUUGUUGGGAAAGAAAUCCAGCUGGCUAAUACCCGGUUGGGAUGACGGUACCCAAAGAAUAAGCACCGGCUAACUACGUGCCAGCCGCCGCAGUAA
RNAcentral lists this ribosomal RNA (505 nucleotides) under uncultured bacterium. RNAcentral's name for it is "partial 16S ribosomal RNA". It matches the Rfam family "Bacterial small subunit ribosomal RNA", at positions 29 to 523 of the family's 1533-position model. The record is from RNAcentral.